Molecule: long non-coding RNA, 201 nt
Filed under: Macaca nemestrina (pig-tailed macaque)
Lineage: Eukaryota; Metazoa; Chordata; Mammalia; Primates; Cercopithecidae
Description: lncRNA (ENSMNEG00000045618.1)
Source: RNAcentral
GGAGAGCGCACUCCAGCUACUCUCGAAUUCUCUGACCUAUGGCUUCACUGGCGGUGGCUUUCACGUCUGACUCUGCUGCAGGCUCUUUGAGGAGUCCUGCGUCUGCUCUUCUCUGCACUCAGCCACCUUGGCUCGCAAGGAAGCUGCUGGGGACCAGCCUGCUGCAACCCACCUCAGCAUCUCUUUAGGACCUCAGCUGCC